GACGAACGCUGGCGGCGUGCCUAAUACAUGCAAGUAGAACGCUGAAGGAGGAGCUUGCUCUUCUGGAUGAGUUGCGAACGGGUGAGUAACGCGUAGGUAACCUGCCUGGUAGCGGGGGAUAACUAUUGGAAACGAUAGCUAAUACCGCAUAACAGUAGAUGUUGCAUGACAUUUGCUUAAAAGGUGCAAUUGCACCACUACCAGAUGGACCUGCGUUGUAUUAGCUAGUUGGUGGGGUAACGGCUCACCAAGGCGACGAUACAUAGCCGACCUGAGAGGGUGAUCGGCCACACUGGGACUGAGACACGGCCCAGACUCCUACGGGAGGCAGCAGUAGGGAAUCUUCGGCAAUGGACGGAAGUCUGACCGAGCAACGCCGCGUGAGUGAAGAAGGUUGUCGGAUCGUAAAGCUCGGUUGUAAGAGAAGAACGAGUGUGAGAGUGGAAAGUUCACACUGUGACGGUAUCUGACCAGAAAGGGACGGCUAACUACGUG
RNAcentral lists this ribosomal RNA (495 nucleotides) under uncultured bacterium. RNAcentral's name for it is "partial 16S ribosomal RNA". It matches the Rfam family "Bacterial small subunit ribosomal RNA", at positions 28 to 507 of the family's 1533-position model. The record is from RNAcentral.